This 439-nucleotide ribosomal RNA is filed under the name uncultured bacterium. RNAcentral describes it as "bacterial SSU rRNA". It matches the Rfam family "Bacterial small subunit ribosomal RNA", at positions 30 to 416 of the family's 1533-position model. The record is from RNAcentral.
AUUGAACGCUGGCGGCAUGCCUUACACAUGCAAGUCGAACGUGAAAGCGGGGCAACCCGCAAGUAGAGUGGCGGACGGGUGAGUAAUACAUCGGAACGUGUCCAGUAAUGGGGGAUAACCUAGCGAAAGUUAGGCUAAUACCGCAUACGAUCUGCGGAUGAAAGCGGGGGAUGCGGCACUAAAGGCUUUUGGCGAAGGUGGCCAAAGGUGAGUCAAGAGCUUUUAGUGCUGCACCUCGCGUUAUUGGAGCGGCUGAUGUCUGAUUAGCUAGUUGGUGAGGUAAAGGCUUACCAAGGCGACGAUCAGUAGCUGGUCUGAGAGGACGGCCAGCCACACUGGGACUGAGACACGGCCCAGACUCCUACGGGAGGCAGCAGUGGGGAAUUUUGGACAAGUGGGGCAACCCUGAUCCAGCCAUGUCGCGUGAGUGAAGAAGGCC